This 406-nucleotide ribosomal RNA is filed under the name uncultured microorganism. Its description in RNAcentral is "bacterial SSU rRNA". It matches the Rfam family "Archaeal small subunit ribosomal RNA", at positions 330 to 742 of the family's 1478-position model. The record is from RNAcentral.
GUGCAGCAGGCGCGAAUACUUUACAAUGUGCGAAAGCACGAUAAGGGAACUCUGAGUGCCUCCUAAGGAGGCUGUUCAGGUGUCUAAAAGCACCUGAAGGAAGGGCUGGGUAAGACCGGUGCCAGCCGCCGCGGUAACACCGGCAGCCCAAGUGGUAGCCACGUUUAUUGGGUCUAAAGCGUCCGUAGCCGGCUGGGUAAGUUCCUUGGGAAAUUUGGCUGCUUAACAGUCAAGCUUUCAGGGAAUACUGCCCGGCUUGGGACCGGGAGAGGUCAGAGGUACUCCAGGGGUAGGGGUGAAAUCCAUUAAUCCUUGGGGGACCACCGGUAGCGAAGGCGUCUGACCAGACCGGGUCCGACGGUGAGGGACGAAGGCUAGGGGCGCGAACCGGAUUAGAUACCCGCGU